This 38-nucleotide transfer RNA is filed under the name Arizona elegans. Its description in RNAcentral is "partial tRNA-Ser". The record is from RNAcentral. Lineage: Eukaryota; Metazoa; Chordata; Lepidosauria; Squamata; Colubridae.
GAGGGCGCCACAAGACCUGCUAACUCUUUAAUCUGGAA